This 832-nucleotide ribosomal RNA is filed under the name uncultured bacterium. RNAcentral's name for it is "bacterial SSU rRNA". It matches the Rfam family "Bacterial small subunit ribosomal RNA", at positions 8 to 810 of the family's 1533-position model. The record is from RNAcentral.
AGAGUUUGAUCAUGGCUCAGAGCGAACGCUGGCGGCGUGCUUAACACAUGCAAGUCGAGCGCAGGCAUCUUGGGGGCAACUCCGAGGUGUGCUGAGCGGCGAACGGGUGAGUAAUACGUAAAUAACCUACCUUUAGGACUGGGAUAACCCCGGGAAACUGGGGUUAAUACCAGAUAAGACCACGAUUUCCACGGAAGCUGAGGUAAAAGAUGGCUAGGUAACUAGCUCUCGCCUAGAAAUGGGUUUACGUCCCAUCAGGUAGUUGGUGAGGUAAUGGCUCACCAAGCUUAAGACGGGUAGCUGACCUUAGCGGGUAGUCAGCCACACGGGAACUGAGACACGGUCCCGACUCCUACGGGAGGCAGCAGUGGGGAAUAUUGGGCAAUGGGCGAAAGCCUGACCCAGCGACGCCGCGUGGGGGAUGAAGGUCCUCGGAUUGUAAACCCCUGUCAGGAGGGACGAUGGGUCUAUGGGCUAAUAUCCCAUAGACUUGACGGUACCUUCAGAGGAAGCCCCGGCUAACUCCGUGCCAGCAGCCGCGGUAAUACGGAGGGGGCGAGCGUUGCUCGGACUUACUGGGCGUAAAGGGUCCGUAGGUUGCUUUGUAAGUUAGAUGUGAAAGCUCAGGGCUUAACCCUGAAAUUGCAUCUAAGACUGCGGAGCUAGAGUUCGGAAGAGGUUGGCGGAAUUCCCGGUGUAGCGGUGAAAUGCGUAGAUAUCGGGAGGAACACCAGUGGCGAAGGCGGCCAACUGGUCCGACACUGACACUGAGGGACGAAAGCGUGGGGAGCGAACCGGAUUAGAUACCCGGGUAGUCCACGCCUUAAACGAU